ACUGUGGACGACUUGGACACACACAUCCCGCAAGAAAGUCAAAACCAAGAUGUCUUAGCUGCGGGUAAAGCGAGUGCAAGGCAAACUAGCCAAAAUGACGACCAUACAUACACAGACUAUGACAAAUGUCCAGUUUCGCAAAAAGAAAAAUGCUCAACCACAUCAAAGCAGUAAAAAACAUAAGUAGACGAGAAGCUUUAAAACAUACAACAACAAUAACAAUAAUAGAUUUGACGCACUUACUGUGAAUUCAUUAGAUCCUGCCAGCCAAGACUACCUACUCUCACUUUAAUUUCAAAAAUUUGUUUGAAAAUAAUUUUCGCAGUUUGAUCGGGCUUGAAAGAUUGGAAUAAACCUAUUUCAAAGCAGGAACACCACAAUAAAGUAUGUGUCUAACUACAUUCCUUGACAAGUAAUAUUUUUUGAAAUGAUUUACUUAUGUGAUUGUGCAUGUACUUAAAAUAUAUAUAAAGGCACCAAAAGAAAAAAAGUGAGGUGCAAUAAUAUGUAGAACAUCAAUCAAAAUACCAUUGUUUUGCUUUACUUUUAUUUUCUUAUUCCUAUGUAGCUACAUAUUAUAGAUAAGUGUCUAUGUACAUAUA
Molecule: long non-coding RNA, 602 nt
Organism: Ceratitis capitata (Mediterranean fruit fly)
Lineage: Eukaryota; Metazoa; Arthropoda; Insecta; Diptera; Tephritidae
Exons: 3
Source: RefSeq, a predicted model, not a curated record